GCUCAGGAUGAACGCUAGCUACAGGCUUAACACAUGCAAGUCGAGGGGUAGCAGGGUAGCAAUACCGCUGACGACCGGCGCACGGGUGAGUAACACGUAUCCAACCUUCCCAUAACUCGGGGAUAGCCUUUCGAAAGAAAGAUUAAUACCCGAUAGUACUUAUAUAAGGCAUCUUAAAUAAGUUAAAGAUUUAUUGGUUAUGGAUGGGGAUGCGUUCCACUAGAUAGUUGGUGAGGUAACGGCUCACCAAGUCUUCGAUGGAUAGGGGUUCUGAGAGGAAGGUCCCCCACAUUGGUACUGAGACACGGACCAAACUCCUACGGGAGGCAGCAGUGAGGAAUAUUGGUCAAUGGGCGAGAGCCUGAAC
This 367-nucleotide ribosomal RNA is filed under the name uncultured Bacteroidales bacterium. Its description in RNAcentral is "bacterial SSU rRNA". It matches the Rfam family "Bacterial small subunit ribosomal RNA", at positions 22 to 388 of the family's 1533-position model. Lineage: Bacteria; Pseudomonadati; Bacteroidota; Bacteroidia; Bacteroidales. The record is from RNAcentral.